Molecule: long non-coding RNA, 1312 nt
Filed under: Homo sapiens (human)
Lineage: Eukaryota; Metazoa; Chordata; Mammalia; Primates; Hominidae
Description: HSALNT0379726
Source: RNAcentral
UGAAAAAAAAAAAAACAAGUCUUUCUGGCAUAAGGAUGAUUUUCAUCUGGUCAUUUUGAAACAUUUUUGUAAAAUAAAUUUACAUCUAUAAAGAACAUUUUUAUUUGUAAGGAGGGGUAUGUCUCUGUGCACUGGAAGAGAGGGAGGACUAAAUCACUGGGAAGUCUUAUGAUAAAGAAGCCAUUGGCUUAAAUCAGCAAAGCAAGCCGUCCCUUGGUUUAAGGUGUUUUUCCUGGCCAUCCUGUCUUGACUAGAACUUUACCUACACCUUCCUUUUUGGUUUAGGCAAAUUAUAGUAUCUAAAACUGAAGUCUCAGCUCUGUGUCUUUGAGAUAUAAAUGUUCUACCAUGUCUUCUCUGGAACCUGAUAACUAUCUAUCUCUUUAAAAUGCAAGUCUAGGGAGAUGACUCAUCAGAAAAAGAAGAAAAAAGAGGUAUUUGGAAAUUGUGCAAAUUAAAGCAGCCCCUGAUGCCAAAGUCUACACAUUCCUGAGUGAGUCAGUUCUGGCCAGUUCUAGCUGGAUCAAGAGAGCUCUGCUGGGCAGGCCUGAAGAGCACCUGGAUGGCAGACACCUGAGGAGCCAGGUGCCUGAAACUUCCUCCACCUACUUGAGGAGCGCCAAAGCCCAGGUGCUGGCUGGACAACCCCUUCUGGCUGCCUAAGCAGAUGGCAGAAGAAGGAAACAAGCCCCCACAUCACCCAACCAACCAGCAGAGAUCCUCCUUCCCAAGAAACAGAUAAAGAAACUGAGGCCCAGGAAGGCUAAGAGUCCUGCCAGGAUUAUUCACCUUUCAAGCAGCCAAGCAAGCACUGGCUGUGAGAGAUGGCUGUGAGAGAAGAUUAAAACAAUUACAACUCACCCAGUUCACAGAUGCUGAGUAACUGAUCUCCUGCCCCACUAACCUUAACGACAGCUUUCUCUGGACAAGGGACUGAUUUCAGUAACUUUCUCCUGAUAAGAGACCAUCCUCCAUGGACUGGUUCUGGCCAGUUUUAGAGGCUGUGCCUUUACGAGGCUGAGUACCUUCAUGUCCCUGCUUCACUUUUUGAUGUGUAGGGCCUAAUUAUAAUACAUUUAAAUGUCAAGUCUCCACCCCAGAAUGAACAUGCAUGUUUAUUGAAUAUGCAUGUGUUAGGACCUCUUUUAUGAGUAUUCUCAUAAAAUGAUAUAGCUCCUCUGAUAUCCUAUUGAGUAUGUAUAUGUAGCCAACUCAUUUGGCUCAAAUUCCUGUCCUCUCCCUCCCUCCCUGGAAAUGCCUGCCUCUGGCCUUGGCUGUAGGCCACACUUCCCAGCCUGUCAUAAUGGCCACC